This 435-nucleotide ribosomal RNA is filed under the name uncultured bacterium. Its description in RNAcentral is "bacterial SSU rRNA". It matches the Rfam family "Bacterial small subunit ribosomal RNA", at positions 29 to 511 of the family's 1533-position model. The record is from RNAcentral.
AGCGAACGCUGGCGGCAGGCCUAACACAUGCAAGUCGAACGAACCCUCCGGGGUUAGUGGCGGACGGGUGAGUAACACGUGGGAACGUACCUUUAGGUUCGGAACAACACAGGGAAACUUGUGCUAAUGCCGAAUGUGCCCUUCGGGGAAAGAUUAUCGCCUUUAGAGCGGCCCGCGUCUGAUUAGCUUGUUGGUGAGGUAAAGGCUCACCAAGGCUUCGAUCAGUAGCUGGUCUGAGAGGAUGAUCAGCCACACUGGGACUGAGACACGGCCCAGACUCCUACGGGAGGCAGCAGUGGGGAAUCUUGCGCAAUGGGCGAAAGCCUGACGCAGCCAUGCCGCGUGAAUGAUGAAGGUCUUAGGAUUGUAAAAUUCUUUCACCGGGGAAGAUAAUGACGGUACCCGGAGAAGAAGACCCGGCUAACUUCGUGCCAG